GGCACGGUGGCCAAGCGGCUAAGGCGUCGGUCUCGUAAACCGAAGAUCGUGGGUUCGAAUCCCUCUCGUGCCU
RNAcentral lists this transfer RNA (73 nucleotides) under Amphimedon queenslandica. RNAcentral describes it as "tRNA-Thr". It matches the Rfam family "tRNA". Rfam says of the family: Transfer RNA (tRNA) molecules are approximately 80 nucleotides in length. Their secondary structure includes four short double-helical elements and three loops (D, anti-codon, and T loops). The record is from Rfam by way of RNAcentral. Lineage: Eukaryota; Metazoa; Porifera; Demospongiae; Haplosclerida; Niphatidae.